Molecule: ribosomal RNA, 484 nt
Filed under: uncultured bacterium
Lineage: Bacteria
Description: partial 16S ribosomal RNA
Rfam family: Bacterial small subunit ribosomal RNA
Source: RNAcentral
AUUGAACGCUGGCGGCAGGCCUAACACAUGCAAGUCGAGCGGAUGAAGGGAGCUUGCUCCUGGAUUCAGCGGCGGACGGGUGAGUAAUGCCUAGGAAUCUGCCUGGUAGUGGGGGAUAACGUCCGGAAACGGGCGCUAAUACCGCAUACGUCCUGAGGGAGAAAGUGGGGGAUCUUCGGACCUCACGCUAUCAGAUGAGCCUAGGUCGGAUUAGCUAGUUGGUGGGGUAAAGGCCUACCAAGGCGACGAUCCGUAACUGGUCUGAGAGGAUGAUCAGUCACACUGGAACUGAGACACGGUCCAGACUCCUACGGGAGGCAGCAGUGGGGAAUAUUGGACAAUGGGCGAAAGCCUGAUCCAGCCAUGCCGCGUGUGUGAAGAAGGUCUUCGGAUUGUAAAGCACUUUAAGUUGGGAGGAAGGGCAGUAAGUUAAUACCUUGCUGUUUUGACGUUAUCAACAGAAUAAGCACCGGCUAACCUCGUG